UGGGGAAUCUUGCGCAAUGGGCGAAAGCCUGACGCAGCAACGCCGCGUGCGGGAUGAAGGCCUUCGGGUUGUAAACCGCUUUCAGUGGGGACGAAUUCAGACGGUACCCACAGAAGAAGCCCCGGCCAACUACGUGCCAGCAGCCGCGGUAACACGUAGGGGGCGAGCGUUGUCCGGAAUCAUUGGGCGUAAAGAGCUCGUAGGCGGCUCAGUAAGUCGGGUGUGAAACCCCCAGGCUCAACCUGGGGACGCCACCCGAUACUGCUGUGGCUAGAGUCCAGUAGGGGAGUGUGGAAUUCCCGGUGUAGCGGUGAAAUGCGCAGAUAUCGGGAGGAACACCAGCGGCGAAGGCGGCACUCUGGGCUGGAACUGACGCUGAGGAGCGAAAGCGUGGGUAGCAAACAGG
Molecule: ribosomal RNA, 406 nt
Filed under: uncultured Acidimicrobiales bacterium
Lineage: Bacteria; Bacillati; Actinomycetota; Acidimicrobiia; Acidimicrobiales
Description: bacterial SSU rRNA
Rfam family: Bacterial small subunit ribosomal RNA
Source: RNAcentral